GUUGUAUAGUCAAGUAAUUAAGUGCAUGUGGUGGAUGCCUUGGCAGUCAGAGGCGAUGAAAGACGUGAUAGCCUGCGAAAAGCUCCGGGGAGGCGGCAAAUAUCCUUUGAUCCGGAGAUGUCUGAAUGGGGGAACCCACCUACUUUAAGGUAGGUAUUGCAACAUGAAUACAUAGUGUUGCAAGGCGAACGAGGGGAAGUGA
Molecule: ribosomal RNA, 202 nt
Filed under: Acinetobacter baumannii
Lineage: Bacteria; Pseudomonadati; Pseudomonadota; Gammaproteobacteria; Moraxellales; Moraxellaceae
Description: partial 23S ribosomal RNA
Rfam family: Bacterial large subunit ribosomal RNA
Source: RNAcentral